AGCCCCAGCAGACACAAUACGUGAUUAUUCAGAAUGGAAAUGUGCUGACACUCGUCAUUUCGCCCUGUCUCUGUUUUGUCUGCGUUGAGGUACUCGAUGUCCGUCCUUGGCUGUCAGCAGGCAGGGUCUGGAAACAAACUGCCGACAGGAGACAACUCGCAAAACAAGAUUACAAGUUGUGUGCCUUUGCACUGAUGGAAAAGUACAACUUCAGCACAAUUGAUAAUAACUAUAGCAACUGCCUUUAAGCAUAAGAGUUGUGUGAUAACUUAUACAUAAUUAUUCUAACACACCUUCUUCUAGAAGCAGGAAGUUAGUUUGAUUGAUGACGUAGAGAAAGUAAUAAUAUGAUGUCCACUUGAAGGUCGAUCUAGAAAGUAGGAAUCUAGAGCGCUACGGUUAAGAUGUCAGGUUCAAACACCAAACUAUCUAUUACACAAGACAAGAAGCAAGGAAUCAGGCAGAGACAGAGUUCAAAUUUUCACAUGAGGAGAAACGUAUUGUGCUGCACACUCAGUUCCAGUUCCACCCUAUGCUCUAAGGUACAGUCCCACGUGCUCCUCUAUCUAUUCGGGAGGUCCCUAGUUAACAUCACUGAGGCUGCGAUGGCGUAAAGAAGGCACAAUAACAAACGCAGAAUGAAUCUGUCAUGUCUGUGUGACCGUGUUUUGUAUUAGUCAUGUUUUGUUUAGUUAUUGGACUCUUUAGUUUCUGGCUUUUCGCUCCCUUGUCUUGUUUCCAUGGUUACCCGUUAGUUUCACCUGCUCCACGUUUGGACUCAUUGUGCACUCUUGUUUGUCACCAUAGCAACCCAUUAGUUUUCACCUGUCACGUCACGCACCUGUUUUGAGUCACGCACCUGUUUUCGUUAAUCACGUCUGUAGUAUUUAAGUUCAUUGUUUUCAGUUUGUCUUCCUG
Molecule: long non-coding RNA, 918 nt
Organism: Nerophis lumbriciformis (worm pipefish)
Lineage: Eukaryota; Metazoa; Chordata; Actinopteri; Syngnathiformes; Syngnathidae
Source: RefSeq, a predicted model, not a curated record